RNAcentral lists this ribosomal RNA (159 nucleotides) under uncultured bacterium. RNAcentral describes it as "partial 16S ribosomal RNA". It matches the Rfam family "Bacterial small subunit ribosomal RNA", at positions 355 to 535 of the family's 1533-position model. The record is from RNAcentral.
UGGGGAAUAUUGGACAAUGGGCGAAAGCCUGAUCCAGCCAUGCCGCGUGGGUGAAGAAGGCCCUAGGGUUGUAAACCCCUUUCAGCGGGGAAGCGGUACCCGCAGAAGAAGCCCCGGCUAACUCCGUGCCAGAGCCGCGGUAAAACCGGUUACUCCUAG